Molecule: ribosomal RNA, 429 nt
Filed under: Bacteroidota bacterium
Lineage: Bacteria; Pseudomonadati; Bacteroidota
Description: Bacteroidetes bacterium partial 16S ribosomal RNA
Rfam family: Bacterial small subunit ribosomal RNA
Source: RNAcentral
UAGGGAAUCUUCCGCAAUGGACGCAAGUCUGACGGAGCAACGCCGCGUGAGUGAAGAAGGAUUUCGGUUCGUAAAACUCUGUUGUUAGAGAAGAACAGCGCAUAGAGUAACUGUUAUGCGUGUGACGGUAUCUAACCAGAAAGCCACGGCUAACUACGUGCCAGCAGCCGCGGUAAUACGUAGGUGGCAAGCGUUGUCCGGAUUUAUUGGGCGUAAAGCGAGCGCAGGCGGUCAAUUAAGUCUGAUGUGAAAGCCCCCGGCUCAACCGGGGAGGGUCAUUGGAAACUGGUUGGCUUGAGUGCAGAAGAGGAGGGUGGAAUUCCAUGUGUAGCGGUGAAAUGCGUAGAUAUAUGGAGGAACACCAGUGGCGAAGGCGACUCUAUGGUCUGUAACUGACGCUGAGGUUCGAAAGCGUGGGUAGCAAACAGG